Molecule: long non-coding RNA, 429 nt
Filed under: Sinocyclocheilus grahami
Lineage: Eukaryota; Metazoa; Chordata; Actinopteri; Cypriniformes; Cyprinidae
Description: lncRNA (ENSSGRG00000042038.1)
Source: RNAcentral
GUUCAUUAGUGAUAGUGUGUGUGUGUGUUCAGGCUCCUCCAGGCCUCAAGAAGAACCUGAAGCGGACGUAUGAGUCCUGGAGCGUGGAGCAGAUCAGUAAAGGCGGUCACCUGACUCUAGCUCAGUCGCUCUUCUGUCUGGCCUGGUUCCACUCUGUGUGUCAGGAGAGACGCAACUACAUUCCACAGGGAGUUCUCUGUCAGACCUGAGAGCCGGCUUUGAGAUCAUUGACCGUCUGUUUGAAGGUGGGAAGCCGUUUCAAUGAGAAUUUGUGCACGGUCUCCUGGAAAACGCCAUCUACAGCGGCCGCAUCGAUAACGUGUGUGACCUGCGGGUCCUUCGCUCGUACCUGCAGCAGUUCUUUAACGCUCAGCUCCUCACACAGUCACACACACACUCGCGAGUCAAGAAAACACACGCUUUGAUACA